RNAcentral lists this ribosomal RNA (245 nucleotides) under Streptococcus pneumoniae. Its description in RNAcentral is "partial 23S ribosomal RNA". It matches the Rfam family "Bacterial large subunit ribosomal RNA", at positions 2684 to 2925 of the family's 2925-position model. The record is from RNAcentral. Lineage: Bacteria; Bacillati; Bacillota; Bacilli; Lactobacillales; Streptococcaceae.
CGAGAGGACCGGAGUGGACGCAUCACUGGUGUUCGGGUUGUCAUGCCAAUGGCACUGACCGGUAGCUAAAUGCGGAAGAGAUAAGUGCUGAAAGCAUCUAAGCACGAAACUUGCCCCGAGAUGAGUUCUCCCUGAGACUUUAAGUCUCCUGAAGGAACGUUGAAGACGACGACGUUGAUAGGCCGGGUGUGUAAGCGCAGCGAUGCGUUGAGCUAACCGGUACUAAUGAACCGUGAGGCUUAACC